GGUUCUUUGUUUUGUUUAUAGUGAGAUAGGGAAUCGGGCCUGCCCAGUGACGUUAAUGUUAAACGGCCGCGGUAUAUUAACCGUGCAAAGGUAGCGUAAUCAUUUGCCUAUUAAUUGUGGGCUAGUAUGAAUGGCUUGACGAGGAUAUAGCUGUCUCUUGUUUAAGGUAUAUGGAAAUUAUUUUUUAGGUGAAGAAACCUAAAUAUAGUCGAGGGACGAUAAGACCCUAUCGAGCUUAAGUAGAGCUCUAGGAGUAGGUUGAGGUAUAAAAUAUCUUGUAACCAAGGAUGAAUCUUUGAUUGGGGCGAUCGAGAAGUAAAAGUAACCUUUUGUUGAGUAUUUGGGCUUGUAGGUAAAGAAUUGAUAUAUGAUAUAGAUGAAAAGAGGAAGUUACCGUAGGGAUAACAGCGUAAUCUUUUUGGAGAGUUCUUAUUGAAAAAAAGGUUUGCGACCUCGAUGUUGGACUAAGAUUUCCUGGGGGUGUAGCAGUUUCUAAGGGUUGGUCUGUUCGACCAUUAAAAUCUUACA
RNAcentral lists this ribosomal RNA (528 nucleotides) under Cosmetalepas concatenata. RNAcentral's name for it is "partial large subunit ribosomal RNA". It matches the Rfam family "Bacterial large subunit ribosomal RNA", at positions 1816 to 2600 of the family's 2925-position model. Lineage: Eukaryota; Metazoa; Mollusca; Gastropoda; Lepetellida; Fissurellidae. The record is from RNAcentral.